Molecule: long non-coding RNA, 815 nt
Filed under: Nicotiana benthamiana
Lineage: Eukaryota; Viridiplantae; Streptophyta; Magnoliopsida; Solanales; Solanaceae
Description: long non-coding RNA (NBEN_LNC014316)
Source: RNAcentral
UUUUCUGCAACUUGGAUUAAUUAUCCACGUAACUCCCUAACUGAAAAUAUGAUUUGUACCAUGUAAAGAACCCGCCUAGUUAAAAUAAUUCGCACCUGUAAAAAUAUCCCAUACCCACUUAAUUUUCCAAUAGCGCACAUCAUCUCUCUAACCCCGCUAAACCAAAAUCCCAAGCCCUAGGAGAUGAAGCCAUGGAUUCUCAAUCUUUGUUCGUUUGGUUGAAGACAAAAUAAUCUAAAGUUUGUUUGAAAUUUCAUCUCUAUUUCAUUGUGUUUAGUUUUUUUAUGGAUCGAUUCUUACCGUGGACCUUCAUUGUUUGCUUUAUACAUCAUCAGUGUUCUAGUUUCUGCUUUACAGUACUUGUAAGUGUCGAUUUACCUAUUUUAAUAGUGUACUGUUGUAUAUUUUGGAUUUUGUUGUUAUGUUAAAUUUGUGUUGUUAGUUUCUGUUCUUAAAUUUGUGUUGUUAAAUUUCAGAAUUUCAGCUAUUAAAAUGCAUUCAGUUUGCAGUUAGAUAAAAUGUAGGCAGUUUGCAGUCAGUUCCAGGCAAUUUGCGUUGAGAACUCUCUGCUCUUUCCGACAUGGCUACAAUGGCUAUGGAGUUCGAGUUAAAAUCAGGGAAGAAGAAGAAGCAACUAACAAAUUAGGGCAAUAGGGUUCACAUUCCUAUUAAUUUCGACUAAAGCUCGACAAAUUGCAGAAAAGAAAGUAACCUUUGAAUUUUCAUGGAGAUGGAGAUUUUGAGAAUUAAGGCUUUUUUUAUAUCUGAUAAUGGAGAAAGGGUAGGGGAAAGUCGGGUAUCAAUGAAACUCCAAC